GAGCCACUGACAUCCAUGAGGACAUGCUCGUGUUGGCCGCCGCGGAGAUGGACUUGGAAGCUCCUACUCCUUCUCUGUCACAUCCACUGGAGACCGUCUUUCUGGAGCUCUGCAGCAUCCACAAGCAGGGCCGUCGACUACUUUGGGGUCAAAGUAAACUGCUGGUCAGCCGUGAUUAGGGACUACGCCAUAAUCAGGGACGCGGUCAUCAACUGUCGCCUCGUCAUGGCCAACAGUGCUUAUUCAGCUGUUCGAGGUGAACCAGCGGACCCUGUCACAGUGGCACAUGGACCGUUGCAAGGCCAACGAGCAGCAGGUGCUGCUCCAGUCGGUGGACCAGCCCUCCGCCACUGCAGUGUCUACAGCACCACUCCCUGCAGCCUUGCAGCUACCUCAGUCUGCAAAGCAGCCAGACAACCCCCUUCCAUACCUCAAUCCGAAACUGCAGCAGCCUCAGGUCGAGGCCCAGGGUGACCCAAACAUCAGAGUGUCUUCCAGGACGACGCUAUGGCGGAGGAAAAGGAAGCUGGACCAGGCUUAUUCAACUGCUACGACCACUGCCACCACUGCUUCCACUGCCACCACUGCUACCACUGUUUUGACUCUUCCUCGCAGGAAGGAGAAACGUGUCUACACCUUCAAUUGCCGUCUCUGUGGUCAGCCAAAGACCAAGGUGUUUGGCCACAGCCGCUUUAAGUCCGAGAACUUCUGCGCGUCCACAGCUUGGCGCUCGGUGGAUGAGUGGCUGGCCAAGAAGAGGAGGAAAACGUCGCUGUUUGACACUGCACUACCAGCACACAGGCACCAAGCCCUACCUGCAGCAUGCCGGCAACAAGCUCUGCCCGCAGCAAGGCCCAACCAGCCAGCCCUGAAAAAGGCUGUUGGGCGCUGGGACGGCCCGAAAUGUCAUGUUUUGCAGUGUGUCACAUUAUUGUUCAAUAGUAAGCAUUGUAAAUGUUGAAUCUCUUUUUUUGUGAUUGGGGAGAGAGUGUUUCAACACCCAUUGACA
Long non-coding RNA from Hypomesus transpacificus, 1009 nucleotides. RefSeq lists it as uncharacterized. The record is from RefSeq and is a predicted model, not a curated record. The transcript is spliced from 3 exons. NCBI's taxonomy places the organism in Eukaryota, Metazoa, Chordata, Actinopteri, Osmeriformes, Osmeridae.